AUCGNUAAGACCUCGCGUUAUUAGAGCGGCCGAUAUCUGAUUAGCUAGUUGGUGGGGUAAAAGCCUACCAAGGCGACGAUCAGUAGCUGGUCUGAGAGGACGACCAGCCACACUGGAACUGAGACACGGUCCAGACUCUACGGGAGGCAGCAGUGGGGAAUUUUGGACAAUGGGCGCAAGCCUGAUCCAGCCAUUCCGCGUGAGUGAAGAAGGCCUUCGGGUUGUAAAGCUCUUUCGCAAGGGAAGAAACGAUGCAGUCGAAUAAACUGCGUUAAUGACGGUACCUUGAUAAGAAGCACCGGCUAACUACGUGCCAGCAGCCGCGGUAAUACGUAGGGUGCGAGCGUUAAUCGGAAUUACUGGGCGUAAAGCGUGCGCAGGCGGUUUUGUAAGUCAGAUGUGAAAUCCCCGGGCUCAACCUGGGAACUGCGUUUGANAACUACAA
RNAcentral lists this ribosomal RNA (445 nucleotides) under uncultured beta proteobacterium. RNAcentral's name for it is "bacterial SSU rRNA". It matches the Rfam family "Bacterial small subunit ribosomal RNA", at positions 198 to 638 of the family's 1533-position model. The record is from RNAcentral. Lineage: Bacteria; Pseudomonadati; Pseudomonadota; Betaproteobacteria.